CGGUAGGAUAGCUCAGUUGGGAGAGCGUCAGACUGAAGAUCUGAAGGUCACGUGUUCGAUCCACGUUCACCGCAUCACAAUUUUCCUCUCUUCACACUUCGUGCCGAGUUCCAAGGAGCUACUCGUGGUGCUGG
This 134-nucleotide small RNA is filed under the name Helianthus annuus (common sunflower). RNAcentral describes it as "hypothetical non coding rna". The stretch from base 2 to 72 matches the Rfam family "tRNA". Rfam says of the family: Transfer RNA (tRNA) molecules are approximately 80 nucleotides in length. Their secondary structure includes four short double-helical elements and three loops (D, anti-codon, and T loops). Further hydrogen bonds mediate the characteristic L-shaped molecular structure. tRNAs have two regions of fundamental functional importance: the anti-codon, which is responsible for specific mRNA codon recognition, and the 3' end, to which the tRNAs corresponding amino acid is attached (by aminoacyl-tRNA synthetases). tRNAs cope with the degeneracy of the genetic code in two manners: having more than one tRNA (with a specific anti-codon) for a particular amino acid; and 'wobble' base-pairing, i.e. permitting non-standard base-pairing at the 3rd anti-codon position. The record is from RNAcentral. Lineage: Eukaryota; Viridiplantae; Streptophyta; Magnoliopsida; Asterales; Asteraceae.